RNAcentral lists this long non-coding RNA (648 nucleotides) under Homo sapiens (human). RNAcentral describes it as "HSALNT0275500". The record is from RNAcentral. Lineage: Eukaryota; Metazoa; Chordata; Mammalia; Primates; Hominidae.
UUGAGUCUCUUCUCUCUUUUUCUUGAUUGACCUAAGUAAACAUUUGCCAAUUUUGUUAUCUUUUCAAACAUUUAAUUUUGGUUUAUUGAUUUUCUCUGUUGUUUCAUAUUCCCUUUCUGUUGGCUUAACUCUUAUUAUGAAAUUUUUUUUGUCUUUAAAAAUUUUAUAUUUGGUUAAUUAAAAUUUAAGUUGAUUUUGGGGUAUCAACGCUUCUCUUAUAUGAAAAUAAGAGCAUGAAUCAAGAAAUAAUGGGUUCCCAAAUACUGCAGUGGAAACACAUUUUUUUGGGGGGGUACAAAACAAGUAUCCAUGUACAUAUAGUCCUUGGUUCCCCAAGUCAUUGAGUCAACUUAGUCAAAAUAAGUAGCCUCUCAUUUCUUAUCUCAUGAGGGUGGUCUUGCCUUGCUUGGAGACAUUAUAAUGAAUUCACUUGAUGUAGUUACUUUUAAGCAUACCAGUUUACUUCAUAUCCCAUUUUCAACCAGUUAUCGUACCCGGAAUAAUUGCUAGAAUCAAAUUCCAUCAUGCACAGGAAAGGAGUGCGUAGCUCUGUUGACUGUGUACAUCGUCCACAGCCCCUGGGUCGGGGCAGGGUCCCCUAGGCCGCCCGGGGGUCCACAUGCAGCCCCUGGGGGGCCGGCGCGGGGU